CCUACGGGGGGCAGCAGUGGGGAAUAUUGGACAAUGGGCGAAAGCCUGAUCCAGCCAUGCCGCGUGUGUGAAGAAGGCCUUCGGGUUGUAAAGCACUUUCAGUGGGGAAGAAAGCCUUGGGGCUAAUACCCUCGAGGAAGGACAUCACCCACAGAAGAAGCACCGGCUAACUCCGUGCCAGCAGCCGCGGUAAUACGGAGGGUGCGAGCGUUAAUCGGAAUUACUGGGCGUAAAGCGCGCGUAGGCGGUCUGAUAAGCCGGUUGUGAAAGCCCGGGCUCAACCUGGGAACGGCAUCCGGAACUGUCAGGCUAGAGUGCAGGAGAGGAAGGUAGAAUUCCCGGUGUAGCGGUGAAAUGCGUAGAGAUCGGGAGGAAUACCAGUGGCGAAGGCGGCCUUCUGGACUGACACUGACGCUGAGGUGCGAAAGCGUGGGUAGCAAACAGGAUUAGAUACCCGAGUAGUC
RNAcentral lists this ribosomal RNA (464 nucleotides) under Vreelandella stevensii. RNAcentral's name for it is "partial 16S ribosomal RNA". It matches the Rfam family "Bacterial small subunit ribosomal RNA", at positions 338 to 795 of the family's 1533-position model. Lineage: Bacteria; Pseudomonadati; Pseudomonadota; Gammaproteobacteria; Oceanospirillales; Halomonadaceae. The record is from RNAcentral.